RNAcentral lists this ribosomal RNA (469 nucleotides) under uncultured bacterium. RNAcentral describes it as "bacterial SSU rRNA". It matches the Rfam family "Bacterial small subunit ribosomal RNA", at positions 293 to 755 of the family's 1533-position model. The record is from RNAcentral.
UGAGAGGAUGAUCAGCCUCACUGGAACUGAGACACGGUCCAGACACCCACGGGUGGCAGCAGUCGAGAAUUUUUCUCAAUGGGGGAAACCCUGAAGGAGCGACGCCGCGUGGGGGAUGAAGGGCUUCGGCCCGUAAACCCCUGUCAUUUGCGAACAAACCUGAUGCAAUAACACUGCAUGAGUUGAUUGUAGCGAAAGAGGAAGGGACGGCUAACUCUGUGCCAGCAGCCGCGGUAAUACAGAGGUCCCGAGCGUUGUUCGGAUUCACUGGGCGUAAAGGGUGCGCAGGUGGGCUGGUAAGUUCGAUGUGAAAGCCCCGGGCUUAACCCGGGAAAGGCAUUGGAUACUACUGGUCUGGAGGAUCGGAGGGGGGACUGGAAUUCUUGGUGUAGCAGUGAAAUGCGUAGAUAUCAAGAGGAACACCAGUGGCGAAGGCGAGUCCCUGGACGAUACCUGACACUGAGGCACG